Long non-coding RNA from Sapajus apella (tufted capuchin), 4371 nucleotides. RefSeq lists it as uncharacterized. The transcript has 2 exons. The record is from RefSeq and is a predicted model, not a curated record. NCBI's taxonomy places the organism in Eukaryota, Metazoa, Chordata, Mammalia, Primates, Cebidae.
CUCUUGACCAUGUGAUUCGCCUGGUUCAGCCUCCCAAAGUGCUGGGAUUGCAGGCGUGAGCCACCUGGCCCAGCCUUUCAUUGAAUUUUAAGAGCCCCUUGAGUGCUUUCAUUAUUUGCAGGUUCACUUUUCAAAAGAUAGUGUUGUUUCUGAGAAUAGCAAGAAGCAGGAUUGGUGUGUAAGAGGCUUGUUAGCCCUUUGCCAUCUGAAGGAAGAAAGGGGAGGUGCCAAGCUACUGCCCCUGCCAACAGAACUGGGGGGAAAGGAAGACAAGGAGCAGAGGGUCUUCAGGAGGAGAGGGCUGCCAGGGAGCUCAGCGCUACCCCUGGAUAGGAAUAGGUUCUCUCGAGGUUGUUAGAAUUAACCUCAUGAGAACUGGUUUUUGAAUGACAGUAAGAACGAUUGAAAAUAUAAGUCCUAAAUAAUGGGCACACACCACCGAGUUUGGCAUGAGUGAAGGGUGUUCACUGAGAGUAUCUGGAAGCCAAAAUAAAAAGACUCAGCAGGCCCAUCCAGAUAGGAUGCAACAAUCAAAUACUGUGGCCUCUUCCAAAACCAGGAAAGGAAAAACAACGGCAGAUCAUAACCAAAGAGCCAUAUAAUGAUAAAGGCAUUUCAGCUUGGUGGGAGAAAAAGUGGGCUCCGGAGUCCCACUGCUUACAUGUGAAAUCUGGCUCUACGCUUCACAGUGGUGUUGCCUGGGAUACCUGUGCCGACCUCAUGUUUGCUCUCUGUAGAUGAAAUAAGUGAUGCUUGCUCAUAGGGUGGAGUGCUAAUUGAGACAGAAAAAUACAAUCCACAUAAAAAGCUUUUAGUGCAAGUCCAGCCACGUGGUAAAUGUGAAAUGUUUGUCAUUGCCACUUUUGAAACAGGGAAGCAGUUUAUAAAAGCACCUUAAACCAUUUAAAAUGUCUGUGGAAAUGUUAAGAAGGAAUCUAGAUGUUCUCUUCCUGCUUACUCUUGUAUACAUUGACUGUUACUCAUGAAUAGUGUUUACCCUGAAACCUGCUGAUCAGGAAGUGGGAUGUGUACUUAAGUAUGAAAAAUGAGGCUAUGUCUCCAAGGUACUGAAACUAUAAAAGGAUCAUUAAGUUCUCAAAAUGUAAAUAAGAGGGCAGCUUUCAUUUGUGUAUCUAAAUUUAGCUUGCUUAAUUAAACCGCGAUAAUGAAAGGUUUUUAGAACAGCAUCCUCUGUGACAGAGGAAGCAUAUGAAAUAUUACCAAAUUUAAAAAUGGACAACUUUGAAAUAGCCAACAAGCACUUUCUGCUCAAUUCCAUGGAUAAUCAUUACUAAAGCUCCAUGUGGAUGCAUAGCCGUUCUCUUCAUUCAUUGAAAGCCAAGCCCAAGAUUUCUCUUAAUACUAUGCCCAGAGUAGCAGAUACGUUGAGUUUUCCAAGGAAAGUUACCUUCAUAUAGGAAAAAGCUGUGAGAGUAGAAAUUGCCAAGGUCUUGAAGUAAAAGAAAAGGUGGAGCUACAGCCAUGAAGAUGGUUAAUGACGUUCCACUGGAAAGGUUUUUAUACCUGCUGAAGGCUUCUCUGUGGGAUUUCUCAAAGGCAGAAAGCCUUGUUCUUAAAUGCGUGUUUGCUGAUUUGUUUUUAUUGACUCAUGGAAACUUUGUAGUCUUUGAUUCUAUAGCAUGCUAUCAGGGUCAAGCAAAAUCUUUCUCAAAUCCUUUUUUUUCUCUAAGAUGCAUACUUUCAGGAUAUGAAAAACACCUUUUUAUCAUUAUUCAUUCCAGCCAGCCAGCCCUCCAUUCCAGUAUACUGGUUAAUAAUAAUAGCUACUACCAUUGAGUCCCUAAGGCAUAGCAACAAGUAGUAUUUUACAUGUCUUCUCUUUUAAUCUCUGCCACAACUUAAUAAAGAACCCAAGCAAAGUGAAGUUUAUUUGCUUGCUCAAGUUUCUACAGCUAGAUACUCAAAUCCAGACUUUUAAUAUUGCAAACAUGUGCUGUGAAUCACUCUGCUAUAUUGCUUCCUGGCUCCCCUCAGUCUUAGAGAAUGUUGGUAGAAUCUUGCCAUAAUAAUAUUGGCAACCUACUGAAGUUCUUAGGAGACUUAUACCCUUGGACCUUUACCGAGACAUUUAGUUAGAUGAUUGUUCUAUGCUGUUUUUGUAUAUAAAGCUCAAGUGUUGAUUCAUUUUAUUUUUUUGUCCGUGGAUUCAAGUGGCCAUUGGGAAUACGCCACUUUUUCUGAUAGCUUUCCAUAUUGAUAGUGUAUCUUUUCUGAGCGUUAUAUAUGACACGUCGGAGGACUAGAAGUUAGUAAUAGUUUCACUUGUUGCCCUGGGGAGCUUGAGAAACGUUAAAGCUCAACACCUGCCACCGCCGAUUCUAAUUUAACAGUUCUAGUUGUCACUAAAGUAUUUUUUAGGUUGGGCUGGUUUAUACCUUUUAAAGUGUUCAGUGAUACUUUUUUUACUCUGAUAUGGUAGCAUUGUUUCUGAGACAUACCUAAAAUAAAAUGUUCUACAAUUAAAAAACAGAGUUUCAGAUAUAAUCCCACAGAAAAAUACACAAAUACCCUAAUCUGUUUUAUCUUGGAAGCAUCUUGUUAUGUUCUCUGUAAGAGUGGGAGGAGUGACCCCACCUCCUGGCAAGAAAACUAGCAAAGGAAACAGGACCAGGACCUCCAACCAGUUGAGACCACUAGAGUGAAGAAAUCGCAUUUCGAGGAGCUUGACUUUUCCUUCCUGAAACCCUUUCAUUCCUGUGUGCCAGUCUCUCUCUCUGGAUUCUGGUUUGACUCCUCUGAGGAGUCUGUUCUUUAGCUAGUUACUGCUAGAUGGGCUUUGAGCAAGCUAGUGCUUCUUUGGCAAGGAAUUUCCGCAUCUCCCUUAAACCUCUCACUUGCUUGGCUCUUGAAGUUUUUUGAAGUUAGAAGACGCACAGACCAGUGUCUCUACUUCAUUUUGUACUGGUUCAUAGGACAGAGGGUCUCAGCAGACCCUCUGUAGACCAAGUAGAUGGCAUCUGGGAAGAUGCAGCAAUGGAUGGGUUAAGGUGUCUUAAGCCAUUUUAAUAUGCCAACUUAAGCCAUGAAGACAAUAAAGGAGGAAGAGGCAAGUCACAGUCAGAUUUCUCCGGAUAUGCCUCGCACUUUUAGAAUUUACUUUUGAGUUUACAUCUAAAAGGAAAACCAGCAAACUUCCCUAUCUAAUGUGGUGAUCUGACUUACUUAUACAGCUGUUUCCUAGAAGUAAUAAAACAACUUCAGUUCACCCUGUGUAUAUAUGUAUGUUUGCAUCAGCAGGACCAAUUUUAUGAGAUGCCUCUUGCCACAUACCCACUUAUUCAUCUGUCUUGGGAAGGAAAGAAUAGGAAGUAGCCUGGCAACUGAGUUGUCAGCAUGAUUAAUCAUGGGGCUUAGACUUAUAGUGAUAGCCAAGAUUUUCUCUGGUUCUAAUAUGUUCAAGAAGGAUUUAUGGUCUUCCCUAUGUAGACAUUCCCUCUGCUUGUUUAUAGCUUAAUCUCUGAUCCUUUCUAUUUUUAAUUACCAUAAAUUAUUUUUCAUCCCUAUAAAAGUUUUCCAAUUGGAAAUAUACUAGUUCUUCUCUUUAUGGAACUUACUACUCAGUAUUAGGCAUGAUUUUAACAAAGCAGUGCCAACAAUUCCAUUCAAAUGGAAAAGAUAAGGUAAUUGCACAGUUCAACAAAGUGAAGAUCAUAGGUAUUUUACAAAGCUAAGCACAUUUUUAUUGUGGCACCUUCUUUAAUAUUUGUGAUCCCUUUGAACAAUAUAUAUUGAAUAUAUAUGUGUGUGUGUGUGUGUGUGUGUGUGUAUGCGCGCGCGCGUGUGCGUGCUGUUUCAUUGUGCACCUUCAUAUUAAAUACUUUAGUGGUUCCUUCCUGGGUUUAAGCUAGUAUCGUUAUCUAUCAGUCUGCUUACUCGGUGAUGUAACACUUUUAUUGCUUAUGUAUGGCCUGCAGACUUGUGUUUUCUUAUUCUUUUUCUUUCUACUUUUGGCGUUAUUUUGCAUUAUUAACCAUUUGUGUUUGCUCUCAGUUCUGUUUAACGUGUUAUGAAGGUGGAUGUCUACAAAUCAGUGAAAUGAUCCAAGCAUCCCUUAUAACCUCCUCACUGCCCUGCAUCUUUGUGUGUUCCUUGUGAUCAGGUGCCUGUAGGGCUUUUCACAAGGUAUUUGCCUUGGCCCUUUGAGCCUCUGGCAGAGGGGCAGGACUUAGGCUUUCCCAGUGUUGAUUCUGCAUUAUGAAAGCAAAAAGCAUGGGCAGUUACAGCCAAUAAUGGGCAAAAUAAAAGAAGAAACUGAUUAGCUCUUUCCCAGAAAUUCAGCCUGCCUUCGGGCUUGGUUUUCUCUUAGCUGCUCUGAUUCAGUGUGCUCAUUUAACACUGCUCUGAAGUAGA